AUGUAUGCGGUAGUUCAUUUUACCGAGUCAAACGAGGUGGAGGUUGUGCCUUGCUCGUGGCUAAGUUUGGACGGCAAGGUGUCUUUUUGGCCACCGUAUAAAGACACCAAGCGGACGAAAAUUGCAGUCAUCCAAAGCGCUAUGCCAGAUGAGACCUGGGGAGAGUUUUUUGUGGAGGUGGUGAAAACCUUUGCCAAUUAUGAUGCAGCGCGUAUGAACCUGAAAAAAGCCCAAACCAGGAGCACCCUGACAUCAGAUGAUGAAGGGGGUAAAAGAAGGAGAAUCCCUUCCUCAAAGCUGAAAGAAACUGUGCCUGCAGAUGAGGGGGAGAAGCAUACAAGGGCUAAGAAAAAAGAAAAAAAAAGGAGUCCUCCACAAGCCCCUGCUUUCCCCACCGGCUUUUAGAUCAUCACAGCAGGACAUACAUAAAGUUGCUGCCCACACAUCAGCUGCUCUUGAACAGGCCUCUGCCCAGAUCUCUGGCAACAUUCAAAGUCAAUUCGAACGGGAUCAUGCACUCCUGCGUGCUGUGGAGGAGUUGAAGGCCUUGGUGAGGCAGAACAACCUCCUCCUCCAGGCCCUUACUAGGCAAAAAACUACAGCAGCAGCAGCAGCAGACACUCUAUCUGAGGAAUUUAAGUUCCCAAUGAACUGUGAGGAAGACCUUCAAAGGGUGGAGGAUCUUCUGAGGGAGAAAUCCCAGGAAAAGGCCCUGGCAGCACACCUUAGUGCGCUUGGGGGCUGCAAUCCUGGUGACGCGGUUCGAAGAAUCCUUCGCCACAUCCUCACCAACCACUUUGCGCUGAAAUUCAACUGGCUUGGCAGAGGAGGGAAGAAGCUGGCUUUUGCCUCCUACAAGGUGUGCAAUGCAGUAAGAGGUGCAUCGGCUAGCCAGAACAUUUUGGCCAGCGACUGCGAGGCAGUUAUUAAAAACUGGCUGAAGUGCAGCGGUGACCGGAGUGGAGGAAGAAAGAGGAGAGAAAGCAGAGUGCAUGAAGGUCCCCAGCAGUUCAGUCUUCCUCCUCCGAGUCCUUCCCCGGUCAUCCUGGAUCAUGAUACAACUAGCAGCGACAGUGACGACGACUGCAGCAGCCUGGAGUGACCCGCCUUCCGCCUGCACACCGACUCGGAUUUUAAUUCAUUUUUAAUUAAUUUAUUCUUCAUCUUAUUAUUAUUAUUAUUAUCAUUAUCAUUACAAGUAUUUAAUAAGUAUUUAAUAAAUGUUCACACUUUCCGGUUUAAUUCCAUGAUGUUUGAAUGGUUUUUGAACUCAAAACUCUUGUUGCUAGGUUUAAUUAAAAGGAAAUUCAAAUUAUUUGGUAAAGGCAAAUUAAUACAAUUUGGCUACCUUAAUUAUAAGUUGGCAAUUGGCUAUAAGCCAACGGAGGCCAUCUGGGGAUAAUGAACGUUGGUCAAACGGUGGCCCUACGGCCGAAAUGACGCGGUUACGUCGCUAUGCCAACGGUGUGCCAACGUUAGGCCAGCGGCCAAAAUGUCGUAGGGCCAGCGUUGGCUCACACCGUCAGGCCAACGAUAUGCGGCGUUGGCUCACAACGUUUUGCCAACGUAGGGCCAACGUAUGCUUGCUAUCUGGGCUCUUUCUUCCCAUAUCUGCGGUAUAAUAUUCUUUCCCAUCAGUGUUUUGCACCUCAUUAGACCAACCUGUUGAUCUUUAUCCCUACAAACAAUCAUCAAUUUUCCAUCCCUUAAGGUGCGGCCACACCAGACGCGUAUCUCGCGUACUUCGCGUAUGAAAUCGCCAUUUUCUCCAUAGGGAACCAUUGGUUUAGGCGCGUAUUACGCGUAUUUCGCGUAUUAAGCAACAUUUUACGCGUGUAUAGCGCGUAUAUUUACGCGCAAUACGCGCUAUACGCGCUAUACGCGCGUAUAUCGCGUAUAUCGCGUACAUUUCAAAAGAGUUCAAAAAAUUGAACUUUUUACGCGAAGUACGCGAGAUACGCGUCUGACGAGACACGCAUUGCCCAAUCAGCGUUGAGCUUGACCCGACGUCACUGGCAGAGAGUAGUGAGCUUGGACAGAAGCAUACGGCCGACAUCUUCCUUUUUUCUGUGUGGAAAUAGUAACAUAGUUACGCCAUUAAAUGCUUUUAUGGAAACAUUUCUAGCGAGAAAUGUGCAUUUUACUUUCAUAAUGUUCACUCGGUGAAUGUGAAGGAUGUUUGGUUUGAUAGUUAUGACGAAGAGGGAACGCUCCGUUCACUUGCAUGGACAGAGUCUCUGGUUACUAAGCAACCUCAACGUCUUGGCGGACUAUUUCUCUGCUGGGAAACACACCAGACACACCAUGUGAAGUUAUUUAACCCGAUUAUUGUUAUUUAUAUCCGAGAUUAUUUAAUCUAACCCGAUCUAAACUCUAUCAACCAAACACGGCGGCGUUGGGGUUUCCUACCUCGGACUCCAGCGCAGCCACGGCCGACAACUUCCUUUAUUCUGGGUGGAAAUAGUAACAUAGUUACGCCAUUAAAUGCGUUUAUGGAAACAUUUUUAGCGAGAAAUGUGCAUUUUACUUUCGUAAUGUUCGCUCGGUGAAUGUGAAGGAUGUUUGGUUUGAUAGUUAUGAGGAAGAGGGAACGCUCCGUUCACUUGCAUGGACAUGGACUCAUCUAGGCGAGUGACGUAGGCGCGUAUAGCGCGUAUUGCGCGUAUGCGACCAUUUUUGACACAAAAUGGUCAAGCAACAUUUUACGCGCGUAUCUCGCGUAAAAAGUACGCGAGAUACGCGUCUGGUGUGGCCGCACCAUUAGUGUUCUAACAGCAUGCAACUCACCUACUAGUUUAUACACAGCAUCACUAAUUUUUAAAGGAUUCAAUGCACCCGGAGUUUGGAAUCGAAUGAUAACCUUUAUUUCAUUCGGUUUGCCUUCAUCCCCUUUGUUUUCACGUGUUUUCCUUUUCUCACACCCGAGUCUCUUCUUCUUCUUCUAUUUGGUUUUAUUGGCGGUUGGCAAACAAACAUGCGCAUUACCCCCACCUACUGGUUUCUUUAUGCAUCUUUAUAUUUACUAUUGUAUCCCUGAGUUACCCGGAUUUCAUAUUUUCUUUAUCAAAUUUGUUUCUUUUAAAUAUCCAAAUACGUGCCUAUAGCAUCUAUCUCCUGACAUUUUCCUUAAUAUAUUCUCUAACUCAUAUCUUUC
Molecule: long non-coding RNA, 3154 nt
Filed under: Gadus morhua (Atlantic cod)
Lineage: Eukaryota; Metazoa; Chordata; Actinopteri; Gadiformes; Gadidae
Description: lncRNA (ENSGMOG00000033174.1)
Source: RNAcentral